AAAUCGGUCCUUUUCAGGACUACAGAAUUUCUAAAGAAAUCCUCUAU
This is a non-coding RNA of Dendroctonus ponderosae (mountain pine beetle), 47 nucleotides long. NCBI's taxonomy places the organism in Eukaryota, Metazoa, Arthropoda, Insecta, Coleoptera, Curculionidae. The record is from Rfam.